This 492-nucleotide ribosomal RNA is filed under the name uncultured bacterium. RNAcentral describes it as "partial 16S ribosomal RNA". It matches the Rfam family "Bacterial small subunit ribosomal RNA", at positions 29 to 507 of the family's 1533-position model. The record is from RNAcentral.
AGUGAACGCUGGCGGUAGGCCUAACACAUGCAAGUCGAACGGCAGCACAGUAAGAGCUUGCUCUUACGGGUGGCGAGUGGCGGACGGGUGAGGAAUACAUCGGAAUCUACUUUUUCGUGGGGGAUAACGUAGGGAAACUUACGCUAAUACCGCAUACGACCUACGGGUGAAAGCAGGGGAUCUUCGGACCUUGCGCGAGUGAAUGAGCCGAUGUCGGAUUAGCUAGUUGGCGGGGUAAAGGCCCACCAAGGCGACGAUCCGUAGCUGGUCUGAGAGGAUGAUCAGCCACACUGGAACUGAGACACGGUCCAGACUCCUACGGGAGGCAGCAGUGGGGAAUAUUGGACAAUGGGCGCAAGCCUGAUCCAGCCAUACCGCGUGGGUGAUGAAGGCCUUCGGGUUGUAAAGCCCUUUUGUUGGGAAAGAAAAGCAGCAGGUUAAUACCCCGCUGUUCCGACGGUACCCAAAGAAUAAGCACCGGCUAACUUCGUG